Long non-coding RNA from Clupea harengus (Atlantic herring), 455 nucleotides. RefSeq lists it as uncharacterized. The record is from RefSeq and is a predicted model, not a curated record. The transcript has 3 exons. Lineage: Eukaryota; Metazoa; Chordata; Actinopteri; Clupeiformes; Clupeidae.
GGCAGGGAUGGAUGAGAGCACUUUUGAGACAUUUGAGGAAGAACUCGGUAGCCCUCUACAGGACGUGCCUCCUCCCAAACCAAUUAGACAGGCACGCAGACCAGAAAUGUACGCUCAGAGGCGAAUGAGAGAGGAAACCCCAAGCUCUCAGCAAGUCCCCAAAACUAUGCCACGAGAGACCCCUUCCUCCAGGACCAGCACAAGUGUGUCCUCUGUGAUCCCCCCCCCCCCCUUUUUUUCCCCAGCUUACUACCAACACUUACUCUUAAGCAUCAAAAGUGUUCAAAUUCACACCACUGUAUUUGAAAACGAAUCAGAUAUCCAUAUGAAAACUAAACACAGACUAUUUCAACGUGAAAAAGAUUUGCUUGAAUGUCUUAACUUUCUUAACUUGGCUAUGAUUUCCAUACUUCUGUUCUCUUCGCAAACCAAAUCUAUGUGUCUGUGUCUGUGUC